CUUUCCCCUAGAGGCAUUGCAGGUGUGGCUGCUGUGUCACAUGUGCGCCAGUAGGUGGCAGAGGAGAAAGGUUAUGUCUACCCUCAGUGUUCUGACCUAUGAACAUCUGAAUGAUUAGUAGUCUAACAUU
Molecule: small nucleolar RNA, 130 nt
Organism: Grammomys surdaster
Lineage: Eukaryota; Metazoa; Chordata; Mammalia; Rodentia; Muridae
Product: small nucleolar RNA SNORA17
Exons: 1
Source: RefSeq, a predicted model, not a curated record